GUACCUAUAUUAUACCUGUAGACAUUUUUUUAAAUGCUUGCUUAAUUAUAGUAACUAAAUAAUUAAUAGUAUUUAAAAUUUCAGGCGUUUUGAGGCCUUUUACUUAUAUGUGGAUUUUCUUACCAUACACAUCCAAAUAUCUAAUUGUCGAGAUACUCAAGUUAGGUAGAUUUAAAAAAUAAGUUAGGCCCGGUUUGUC
This is a long non-coding RNA of Acyrthosiphon pisum (pea aphid), 199 nucleotides long. RefSeq lists it as uncharacterized. The record is from RefSeq and is a predicted model, not a curated record. The transcript has 3 exons. Lineage: Eukaryota; Metazoa; Arthropoda; Insecta; Hemiptera; Aphididae.